This 459-nucleotide ribosomal RNA is filed under the name uncultured bacterium. RNAcentral describes it as "partial 16S ribosomal RNA". It matches the Rfam family "Bacterial small subunit ribosomal RNA", at positions 338 to 795 of the family's 1533-position model. The record is from RNAcentral.
CCUACGUGAGGCUGCAGUGAGGAAUAUUGGUCAAUGGCCGGAAGGCUGACCCAGCCAAGCCGCGUGAAGGACGAAGGUGCCAAGCAUUGUAAACUUCUUUUGUCAAGGGACAAAAUCAGGCUCGAGAGCCUGACCGAGGGUACUUGAAGCAAAAGCAUCGGCUACCUCCGUGCCAGCAGCCGCGGUAAUACGGAGGAUGCGAGCGUUAUCCGGAUUUAUUGGGUUUAAAGGGUGCGUAGGCGGGCUGUUAAGUCAGCGGUAAAAUGGCGGGGAUCAACCUCGCGCAGCCGUUGAAACUGGCGUUCUUGAGGGGGCGAGAAGUAUGCGGAAUGCGUGGUGUAGCGGUGAAAUGCAUAGAUAUCACGCAGAACUACGAUUGCGAAGGCAGAAUACCGGCGCCCAACUGACGCUGAAGCACGAAAGCGUGGGUAUCGAACAGGAUUAGAUACCCUUGUAGUC